UACCCCUCGCCCCUGUGGGAAACGUAUGUGUGCGCGCGCGCGCAUGUGUGAGAGAGAGAGAGAGCUAAUAGUGCUGGAUAGUGCCGAUCGUCCACACAACGUAGUAGUGAAACGACACCGUUAGUCUUUAUUGUGUUGCAAUCGGCGGGUAAAUGUUGUGAAACGCAGUGAGAAAGGAGCAGUGGAGAGUAGAAGAGGAGAAGAGCACGGUCGCGGCAACAGGAGGAAGAA
Trachymyrmex cornetzi is the source of this 231-nucleotide long non-coding RNA. RefSeq lists it as uncharacterized. The record is from RefSeq and is a predicted model, not a curated record. Lineage: Eukaryota; Metazoa; Arthropoda; Insecta; Hymenoptera; Formicidae. The transcript has 2 exons.